UUUCCUACGGGGCGUAGCAGUGGGGAAUAUUGGGCAAUGGGCGCAAGCCUGACCCAGCAACGCCGCGUGAAGGAGGAAGGCUUUCGGGUUGUAAACUUCUUUUAAGAGGGAAGAGUAGAAGACGGUACCUCUUGAAUAAGCCACGGCUAACUACGUGCCAGCAGCCGCGGUAAUACGUAGGUGGCAAGCGUUGUCCGGAUUUACUGGGUGUAAAGGGUGCGCAGACGGCAGCGCAAGCCAGGAGUGAAAGCCCGGGGCCCAACCCCG
RNAcentral lists this ribosomal RNA (267 nucleotides) under uncultured bacterium. RNAcentral's name for it is "partial 16S ribosomal RNA". It matches the Rfam family "Bacterial small subunit ribosomal RNA", at positions 335 to 617 of the family's 1533-position model. The record is from RNAcentral.